This 253-nucleotide ribosomal RNA is filed under the name uncultured bacterium. RNAcentral describes it as "partial 16S ribosomal RNA". It matches the Rfam family "Bacterial small subunit ribosomal RNA", at positions 524 to 776 of the family's 1533-position model. The record is from RNAcentral.
UACGUAGGGUGCAAGCGUUGUCCGGAAUUAUUGGGCGUAAAGAGCUCGUAGGCGGUUUGUCGCGUCGGCUGUGAAAACCUAGGGCUCAACUCCGAGCUUGCAGUCGAUACGGGCAGGCUAGAGUUCGGCAGGGGAGACUGGAAUUCCUGGUGUAGCGGUGAAAUGCGCAGAUAUCAGGAGGAACACCGGUGGCGAAGGCGGGUCUCUGGGCCGAUACUGACGCUGAGGAGCGAAAGCGUGGGGAGCGAACAGG